GGCCUGGUCGCCAAGUGGUAAGGCAAGGGUCUGCAAAACCCUUACUCGGGGGUUCGAUUCCCCCCCAGGCCUCCA
This 75-nucleotide transfer RNA is filed under the name candidate division WWE3 bacterium. Its description in RNAcentral is "tRNA-Cys". It matches the Rfam family "tRNA". Rfam says of the family: Transfer RNA (tRNA) molecules are approximately 80 nucleotides in length. Lineage: Bacteria; candidate division WWE3. The record is from RNAcentral.